Molecule: ribosomal RNA, 577 nt
Filed under: Pezicula sp. 1 ICMP 18831
Lineage: Eukaryota; Fungi; Ascomycota; Leotiomycetes; Helotiales; Dermateaceae
Description: eukaryotic LSU rRNA
Rfam family: 5.8S ribosomal RNA (bases 226-379)
Source: RNAcentral
UAGAGGAAGUAAAAGUCGUAACAAGGUCUCCGUAGGUGAACCUGCGGAGGGAUCAUUACAGAGACUCUGCCCUUUGGGUAGACCUCCCACCCUGUGUCGUUAUACCUUCGUUGCUUUGGCGGGCCGCGGGGCUCCGGCCCUGCCCCUGGCUCCGGCUAGGGCGCGCCCGCCAGAGGACUCUUAAACCUGAAUGUUAGUGUCGUCUGAGUACUAUAUAAUAGUUAAAACUUUCAACAACGGAUCUCUUGGUUCUGGCAUCGAUGAAGAACGCAGCGAAAUGCGAUAAGUAAUGUGAAUUGCAGAAUUCAGUGAAUCAUCGAAUCUUUGAACGCACAUUGCGCCCCUUGGUAUUCCGGGGGGCAUGCCUGUUCGAGCGUCAUUACACCCUCAAGCUCUGCUUGGUCUUGGGCGUCACCGGUCCCGGUGUGCCUUAAAAUCAGUGGCGGCGCCGUCUGGCUCUAAGCGUAGUACAUACUCUCGCUACAGACGCCCGGCGGAUGCUGGCCAGCAACCCCCAAUCUAUCAAGGUUGACCUCGGAUCAGGUAGGGAUACCCGCUGAACUUAAGCAUAUCAAUA